ACUGAAUGAGAUUAGAGACACACAGGUAUUGCAGGUACAGGAUCCCAGACUCGGAAUCUGGCUUCUGGACCGAAGAGAUUUGGGGCAUUGAACAAACCCCUUCAACUUUCUGAGCCUCACUUUCCUCAUCUCUAAAAGUCUGGGGGUAAUGCUUAGUUGGCAGGAUGAUUAUUAACCUCAGAAGAGAUCAGAUUACAAGUGUCUGGCACAGUGUUGUUUAGUUAGGAUGCAUGUGGCUGCCAGAAACAAAAUACUCAACUAAAAGUGACUUCAACGCAAAGGGUUGAUUUUUCUCGAAGAACAGUAACACAGAGGAGGGAUUCCCUGGGUUGGUGCAGGAGCGGAAUGGCAUCGGAGCUCCAGCUCAGUUUCUCUGUGAUUCUCCUGGCUGCAGUAGCUCCAGGCAUCCUGUCCUUCUUCGACAAUGUCCAAAGCAGAAAAAUGGACACAUAUCUUUGCAUGUCUCUCGUCAGGAAAAGUUCAUCCCAGGAGGCCCAGUAACGUUCCUCAGCCUGAAUUGUAUCACAUGACUCUGUCUAGGCUUCAGGCGAAACUGGAAAAAAAAAAGUGAAAUAACACAAGGAAAAAAUUAUUAAGCUGUUAAGCAACAAAGCUGACAGAAUCGAGGAAUCAAAGUUGAAAAGAGAAGGGAAGUGGACAUUUUACAAAUCCACAAACUGGAUAAUCCAUUCCAAAUACAAAAAGAAGCAUCAUUUGUUUCUAAUAAACAGUUUCUAGAUUACAUAUUCUUAUUUAUAAUCUAAUCUUGUUAAAAAUUUUAUUCUACUUACAAA
Molecule: long non-coding RNA, 794 nt
Filed under: Equus caballus (horse)
Lineage: Eukaryota; Metazoa; Chordata; Mammalia; Perissodactyla; Equidae
Description: lncRNA (ENSECAG00000042937.2)
Source: RNAcentral